Long non-coding RNA from Oxyura jamaicensis (ruddy duck), 306 nucleotides. RefSeq lists it as uncharacterized. NCBI's taxonomy places the organism in Eukaryota, Metazoa, Chordata, Aves, Anseriformes, Anatidae. The record is from RefSeq and is a predicted model, not a curated record. The transcript has 4 exons.
CUGAUUUGCCUUGUUAUCUGCUGAAGUUAUCCUCUCUAAAGAGGUAGAAGAAACUUUUCAACAGUGGCAAAACAUAUGUCAUUAUAAUGAAUGGAGCCAGUCAUGCCUCCAUUGAUAGAUAUGGAGAGAUUUGGUAUGUUAUACAGUCCUGUAAGAGCCCCUGCAUCUAUUUUCCAGUCCAGCUCAUUGUGCUUGGCUCUCUACCAUGUCACAGCAGCAAAGAAAGGCUUGUAGACAACCCAAGAUCUACUUUGAGCUGUGAGACUUAAAAGAGAUUAUGUCUUCCAAAGGAGACCAUGACAGAGA